This is a regulatory RNA element of Citrobacter rodentium ICC168, 78 nucleotides long. It matches the Rfam family "ABC transporter regulator". Rfam says of the family: DapZ sRNA, encoded in the 3'-UTR of the conserved dapB gene, as a translational repressor with a GcvB-like seed domain. This is the first example of a widely conserved bacterial gene whose 3'-UTR has dual function. The record is from Rfam. NCBI's taxonomy places the organism in Bacteria, Pseudomonadati, Pseudomonadota, Gammaproteobacteria, Enterobacterales, Enterobacteriaceae.
UAUUACCUUCGUGAUGUGGUUAUUGUAAUCUCAAUCUAUUGAUUACAUAGGGCAAUAUUUUAUUGCCCUUUUAUUUUA